Molecule: ribosomal RNA, 504 nt
Filed under: uncultured bacterium
Lineage: Bacteria
Description: partial 16S ribosomal RNA
Rfam family: Bacterial small subunit ribosomal RNA
Source: RNAcentral
GAUGAACGCUAGCUACAGGCUUAACACAUGCAAGUCGAGGGGCAGCAUGACGAUAGCUUGCUAUUGUUGAUGGCGACCGGCGCACGGGUGAGUAACGCGUAUCCAACCUGCCCUUGUCCACCGGAUAACCCGUCGAAAGGCGGACUAACACGGUAUGCAGUCCACAGCAGACAUCUAACGUGGACGAAAUGUGAAGGAGAAGGAUGGGGAUGCGUCUGAGUAGCUUGUUGGCGGGGUAACGGCCCACCAAGGCGACGAUCAGUAGGGGUUCUGAGAGGAAGGUCGCCAACAGUGGAACGGGAACACGGUCCAAACUCCUAAGGGAGGAAGCAGUGAGGAAUAUUGGUCAAUGGGCGAGAGCCUGAACCGGCCAAGUAGCGUGCAGGAAGACGGCCCUAUGGGUUGUAAACUGCUUUUAUACGGGGAUAAAGUGAGUCACGUGUGGCUUAUUGCAGGUACCGUAUGAAUAAGGACCGGCUAAUUCCGUGCCAGCCGCCGCGGUAA